Molecule: non-coding RNA, 1336 nt
Organism: Pelobates cultripes (western spadefoot toad)
Lineage: Eukaryota; Metazoa; Chordata; Amphibia; Anura; Pelobatidae
Source: the annotation of a GenBank genome assembly
UGUUAUAACAAAUAUAGUAGAUUUAUUUUAAUUCUACAAAAACAAAAAGGUUACAUUUCAGGACAUACAAUGUUACAAGAUACAUUUGUAUUAGAUCCUUUAAAAGGAAGUUACUUUUAGCAGUGUUUCUUGGCAUGUUCUCAUCUUUGCCUAGUCAUACUGUGCACAUGAGUCCUAUUCAGAACAGGAUACAAGAUUCAGUGAAAAAAAACCCACACAAGACAAUGAAAUAAAAAUGCUGACAUCAAGACAUGGACAGUGUCAGGCUACCUAGAACAGCAGGAAAAGAAUUAAGACACUUCUUAACAGAGGGCACACACUGACCAAACGUGAACCAUUGCAGUGUAUAUAAAUCUGUAUGGAGAAAGAUAGAAUGGGAGCUUUGCAAUGUUAAUUUUUUUUUUUGUGGUAGAUACACCUCUAGUGGCAGUCUUCAUGGGAGGGAAUCGACAGAUCAGCCUGGCCAAUAAAGAUACUGAUAUUAGAGACCAGGGCCGCCAUCAGUGUCCUGGGGGGUCCAGCACGCUCUCCUACUUACCUUCCCAGCAGCUCCCUUGGCUGUCAGAGUUGCAAUGGCAAAGCUCCACACAGCACACAGGCUGCGAGAGUUAGACAGGGGAGCUGAAGGGAAGGCAAGUAAGAGUGUGCUGGGCCCCAACCGCAGAGUUCAUGCCACCAGGGAAUGCCAUACCCGCACCAGGUAAGAAGCAGAGAGGGGACUAAAAUAGAAUUAAAAAAAAUAAAAAACCCACCACCACACAGGUUCUUGAAAAUAUGGCAGAUUCUGACUGGCAUGUAUAUUUUGUGCCUUUACCUUUAAAAAAAAAAAAAUUUUUGCAAAAAAACCAAACACGUUCUGUUAACAGUAGAUUUGUUUAGAAAGUUUAUUUUACAUGGUAAAGGUAUAGAAUCAGCAUUGGUAUCAGCCUUAGAGUUCAGAUUGUGAUCAGCUAUAAAAAAUAAAAUAAAAAAAAUAAGCAGUUGCUCCAUUGACAUGGACCCAACUUUGGAAUAAAGGCAAGUUAGAGUAAUGUAACUAAUUUAAGACUAGAGAGACGAAUCCAAACUCUAAAAAUGGUUAGAAGUGUCCUUUUAAGAUACAUUGUAAAACACACAACCUUUGAUUUUUAUUAGCAUCACAAAAAGUGCAUCCACCAUCUGCAUAGAUGCCACUCUGCAGUCCAACCUCAAGAGAACUAGGUAGAAAAUAUUAUGGACCCCUUGUUGUAGGUGGAGCACAAUUAGCUUUUAGGGUAAGCCCCCCAUGGUUGUGAGUGGGGGUUAACCCCAUCCACCCAACUCUGCAGCUGAUUUAAAGAUAUAAAUUAAAAAAAAA